ACGAAACAUAAAAAAUGCAUCGAUUGAAAAUUAAUAUCAUUCGUGUCUUAAAACAUUCAGAACAGGAAGCAUCGUUAAUUAUGAAAUAAUAGAGGGUUGAUUUAAAAGUUAAACGUAUUCAAAUGGUAUUCGAAUCGUAUCUCUAACCUAACCCUAUUAUCUCGUUUUCUGGCGAGUUAUAUAACAAUGUCGAGAGAACAAUGGAUUUGAAAUGCAAAUAAAAACAGAGAACGAGAUAAUGGUUAGGAGAUGAACGAUUAGAACAAUGAUCUUGCAUCAUGUAUGAAUCAUCGGUGAAGCAUCAGCGAUUUACGUCACGACGGUCCCUGUUAUCUGAUCGGGAAAAUCUAUUACCUCUGUUUCAUACACGACAUACCUCUACUACUUGCAUCGCCUGUCCGAUCCAAUUCUAUACUACUUCCCCGGUUAAUUAUCAAACGUGCGAUAGUCUCGAUAUACGAGAUCGCGAAAUCGAUUUAAAUGAUAAGAAAUGCAUUAACGUUGUAUCUAGGCUGUUUCGAUAUUGAAACACACGGAAAUUGAACUGACCAACUCUAUCGAAAUUUACAGGUACAUAUCCUUGUACAACAUGGUAGGCCUGCAACAUUUGCUCCAAUGCGAUGUGAAAAUUGGGAAGAUUCUGCACACAACAUAGUAGGCAAUGAGAAUUUUUAAGUGCAAGUAUUACAACUCGAUAUUUGUUGUUCCAACAAAUGUGCAAGAAUUUUGAAAUAUAUACGGGAAUGUUUAAUUAAUUUCUAGGAAAGUAGCAAUUUGGAACUUUUCUGAUGAAAAAUCGAUGACAUUUUUUACAACAAACAUAAAUGGAAAUCGUACAUAAAUCAACGAAUAUCAGAAGAUGAGGAUAUUUGCCAGAAAGGAAAUUGCCCUCGCUUACGUAAUAUACGUAAUACGUAAUUCUCUUAAUUGUAAGAUAUUUCUCUUAGUUAUAAACAGAGAAUAGUAUACUUUUGUUAAUUUUCAUUCAGAUUCAUCAAGAUCUCUGCGAUAACACGGAUUCGGAUAACUAGACAUAUUUUUGGAACGUAACCAUAUCGUGUUAUACGAGGAUACCUGUAUUCUGUCUUUGAAACCUUAAAUGCAAAUGUCAUAUUGAGAACGUAUAUUGAAAUAUGUAUAUAAAUGUAUAUUGUCUUUAAAACCUUAAAUGCAAAUGUAUAUAAAUGUAUAAAUUUGUUGGAAUUGAUCAAUUUUGCUUCUGACUAACCUAAUUAAAGAAAUAAAUCAUCUGCCAAAAAAGAUACUCAAAUAUUUUACGCACUAAAUCGCUUUUGAAAGUAUGGAAAGUAAAAUUUCUACAUUCCAUCUAUGAAAGGUUAAAUAGUAAUCUAAAUACAUACUGAUAAAAUUAAAACAUUCUUUAAAAAUUUGCUAGAAUUGAUCAAUUCCGCUUCAAAUUGACUUGAUUAAAUAGAUAAAUGAAUUAUCUAAUUAUACAGACAAUAAAAUUUUCAUAUACUAUAUCGGUUUUGGAAGUAUGAAAAAUAAAAUUCGCGCGCAAUUGAAUCUAAUCGAUAUCUAGAUCAACCCUGCGGCUAUACUAUGAAUAAGUUACGGAUUUUUAUGUAUUCACAUAGGAAAUCUAAAAUUGCACAAAUGUAGAAAAUGCACAUAAUAUGAAUAAAUAUACAAAGUACGUAUACAAA
Molecule: long non-coding RNA, 1667 nt
Organism: Bombus terrestris (buff-tailed bumblebee)
Lineage: Eukaryota; Metazoa; Arthropoda; Insecta; Hymenoptera; Apidae
Exons: 2
Source: RefSeq, a predicted model, not a curated record